GCCCAGGUGGAGGAAUUGAUAGCCCCACUAGUUUCAGGUACUAGCGGGUAACUCCGUGGGGGUUCGAAUCCCUUCCUGAGCACCA
RNAcentral lists this transfer RNA (85 nucleotides) under Dechloromonas denitrificans. RNAcentral's name for it is "tRNA-Leu". It matches the Rfam family "tRNA". Rfam says of the family: Transfer RNA (tRNA) molecules are approximately 80 nucleotides in length. Their secondary structure includes four short double-helical elements and three loops (D, anti-codon, and T loops). Lineage: Bacteria; Pseudomonadati; Pseudomonadota; Betaproteobacteria; Rhodocyclales; Azonexaceae. The record is from RNAcentral.